GGUUUGAUCAUGGCUCAGAUUGAACGCUGGCGGGAUGUUUUUACAUGCAAGUCGAACGGCAGCACGGACUUCGGUCUGGUGGCGAGUGGGUGAACGGUCGUGAGUACUGCAUCGGAACGUGCCUAGUAGCGGGGGAUAACUACGCGAAAGCGUAGCUACCGCAUACACCCUUCGGGGGAAAGCGGGGGACCUCGGGCCUCGCACUAUUAGAGCGGCCGAUAUCGGAUUAGCUAGGUUGGUGGGGUAACGGCUCACCAAGGCGACGAUCCGUAGCUGGUUUGAGAGGACGACCAGCCACACUGGGACUGAGACACGGCCCAGACUCCUACGGGAGGCAGCAGUGGGGGAAUUUGACAAUGGGGGAAACCCUGAUCCAGCCAUCCCGCGUGUGCGAUGAAGGCCUUCGGGUUGUAAAGCACUUUUGGCAGAAGAAACGGCACGGGAUAAUACCCGUGCAACUGACGGUACCUGCAGAAUAAGCACUGGCUAACUACGUGCCAGCAGCCGCGGUAAUACGUAGGGUGCAAGCGUUAAUCGGAAUUACUGGGCGUAAAGCGUGCGCAGGCGGUUCGGAAAGAAAGAUGUGAAAUCCCAGAGCUUAACUUUGGAACUGCAUUUUUAACUACCGAGCUAGAGUGUGUCAGAGGGAGGUGGAAUUCCGCGUGUAGCAGUGAAAUGCGUAGAUAUGCGGAGGAACACCGAUGGCGAAGGCAGCCUCCUGGGAUAACACUGACGCUCAUGCACGAAAGCGUGGGAGCAAACAGGAUUAGAUAAUUCUGGUAGUCCACGCCCUAAACGAUGUCAACUAAUGUUGGGGCCUUCGGGCCUUGGUAGCGCAGCUAACGCGUGAAGUUGACCGCCUGGGGAGACAUCGCAAGAUUAAAACUCAAAGGAAUUGACGGGGACCCGCACAAGCGGUGGAUGAUGUGGAUUAAUUCGAUGCAACGCGAAAAACCUACCUACCCUUGACAUGUCUGGAAUCCCGAAGAGAUUUGGGAGUGCUCGCAAGAGAACCGGAACACAGGUGCUGCAUGGCUGUCGUCAGCUCGUGUCGAGAUGUUGGGUUAAGUCCCGCAACGAGCGCAACCCUUGUCAUUAGUUGCUACGAAAGGGCACUCUAAUGAGACUGCCGGCAUGCACCGGUGAAGGUGGGGAGCGACGUCAAGUCCUCAUGGCCCUUAUGGGUAGGGCUUCACACGUCAUACAAUGGUCGGGACAGAGGGUCGCCAACCCGCGAGGGGAGCCAAUCCCAGAAACCCGAUCGUAGUCCGAUCGCAGUCUGCAACUCGACUGCGUGAAGUCGGAAUCGCUAGCAAUCGCGGAUCAGCAUGUCGCGGUGAAUACGUUCCCGGGUCUUGUACACACUGCCCGUCACACCAUGGGAGUGGGUUUUACCAGAAGUAGUUAGCCUAACCGUAAGGAGGGCGAUUACCACGGUAGGGACCAUGACUGGGGUGAAGUCGUAACAAGGUAA
This 1474-nucleotide ribosomal RNA is filed under the name uncultured Bordetella sp. RNAcentral describes it as "partial 16S-23S ribosomal RNA intergenic spacer". It matches the Rfam family "Bacterial small subunit ribosomal RNA". Lineage: Bacteria; Pseudomonadati; Pseudomonadota; Betaproteobacteria; Burkholderiales; Alcaligenaceae. The record is from RNAcentral.